RNAcentral lists this ribosomal RNA (115 nucleotides) under Pteropus alecto (black flying fox). The record is from RNAcentral. Lineage: Eukaryota; Metazoa; Chordata; Mammalia; Chiroptera; Pteropodidae.
GUCUACGGCCAUGCCGCCCUGAACAAGCCCGAUAUCUGAUCUCGUAAGCUAACAGAGUCGGGCCUGGUUAGUACUUGGAUGGGAGACCACCUAGGAAGACCACCUGCUGUAGGCA